GUUAGCCUCAGCAUAGCCAUAGUUUGGCUGGUCUCCCCAAUAUGGAUUGUAUGUGUCAGGGUAGGGAUCAUGCCUCGGCUGUUCAUAGUAUCUUCCAAACGCAUGUGCUUGUUGGUCAUCCUCAUAAAGUGUAGGGCUUUCAAAAGCUAGAUGUCCCACAUAUGCACAUAUCCUACAUGGCUGAGAUAGCUCAAGUCGUCGAGCCCGUAGUUCUAAGACGUAGGUUUUCACACUUGAGGCUAGGUUAGGAAUUUGAGAAGAAAGAUUAGAUGUACUUACCUCAUCCAUGAUUCAGAUCUGUGAUGGAAGCUUUUUGUGCUCAAAAAUAUAUAUAUAUAUUUUUUUUUUGGAAUCUUAAGGAAGAAUGUCCUUGAGUGCAGAUAUGGCCCUAAAAGAAAAAUAAACAAGUUAGAUCAACUCCCCGGCAACGGCGCCAAUUUUUGACUCGCGGUUGUCGAAGCCGGUCAAAAAUAACCUUUCUGGUUAUCAACAAUUUACAACUGCAGAUAGUGGUGAAAGGAUCGAAUCCACAGGGAAUUGAGACUUACCUAUUUUCCUUAUCAAGACCAAUAAAAUAAACUAAAAUAAAAAUAAACUGCAAAAGAAGAAAACUGAAAACGAGAUAAACUAAAACGAGAAAAAGCUGAAAACGAGAUGAACUGAAAGUGGAAUAAAACUGAAAGAGAAAGAAACGGAAAACAAAAUAAACUAAAACAAGAUAAAACUGAAACCAACUAAACUGUAAGUAAAAUGGGGGGGGUUUUGAGAUUGAUUUAAUUAAUCUAAAACUGAAAGCAAUAAAAAUAAGGCAAAUAAUAAAAAUAAAGAGAAAUAAAUAAUAAGAAAGAUCUAGUUGAAGAAUUGGAUCCACUUUAGUUGUUGGGAUUGAUCAUUGACACUUAGUUUCCUUUGGGUUGCUUCAAUAGAUUAGUUAUGGAGAUGGAAGACGCUUCUCACCACCAUUAUCUCUCCUUAUGAUUAAACCAAUUAGGGAACGUCCUCUAAUUAAUUACUAAUUAACAAAUUGCCAAGGAACGUCCUUGGGCCUUAGGCAUCAAAACAAUUGUCAAUUGCAUUAAGAAAUAGCGAGAUCCAAUCCUAGCUAUCCAAACGUAUGGAGAUAACGCUAGAUCAUACAAUUUCCUUGGAUUUUAUCCCAAGUGUUCUUAUGUAAGAAUAAUUCC
Molecule: long non-coding RNA, 1184 nt
Filed under: Manihot esculenta (cassava)
Lineage: Eukaryota; Viridiplantae; Streptophyta; Magnoliopsida; Malpighiales; Euphorbiaceae
Description: long non-coding RNA (MESC_LNC011318)
Source: RNAcentral